RNAcentral lists this unclassified non-coding RNA (937 nucleotides) under Hevea brasiliensis (rubber tree). Lineage: Eukaryota; Viridiplantae; Streptophyta; Magnoliopsida; Malpighiales; Euphorbiaceae. The record is from RNAcentral.
AAACCGAUCAUUUAGAACUAAACCGAACCGAAAUAUAGCAGCUCAGUUUGAUUUAAUUUUUCAUUUAUUUCUAUUAAAUUUAAUUUUAAAUCAAAUGCUCACCGGAUCGUAAUUGGAUGUGCGAUUCAAAUGGGCCUAUGACCGGCGCACCAAUGACCACCGCCCUGACCUGCUUAUAAUCGCAAGCAUUUUAAACUUUUUCCACCCUAACACACACCCUCCACUAUUACAAUUUACAAAACACUACUCCCUUAUUUUCUUUAAAGUUCUGACACCCCCAUUUGUCACUUCCUUUUCUAUGGUUCUGUGCCCACCAAUUGUCCUUUUUAAACAUUAAAAAAGAAGAAAGCAAGCAAAAACGUUCAUUUUGAGAUCCACCUUUCCACAGCACAAAAAAAUUAUGCUGGCGGGAAAUGUUGAUUUUGCACUUACUUUUAUACAUCUUUUCGCACAUCUGUAAUACUACCAAAUCCUAAUUUAAUUAAGUCUAUAAGGUUUACUAAAACUCACUUAAAUUUAAUAAUAAUUUUUAUUUUUAUUUUUAUUUCUAUUAAUAAUUUAAUCUUCAUAUUUUAUUUGUAUUCAUAUAUUAAAAAUUAAUUUAUUAAAAAAGUAAAAUAUGAACUAAAUUAUUAAUAAAAAUAAAAUUAAAAAAUCAAAUUAUUACCAAAUUUAUUAAGUAAUUUGUAAAUUUAUUAAAGUUCAAGGACUUCCCUAUAAUUUACUCUAAAUCAAGGCAUGAGCUGCAACUACACCGCUCUAAGUUUUUUCAUGAUAAUUAAAAAUAUAUUAAAUUAUUUAUAUUAUAAUAAAUUUUUUUUUAUUUCAUUAAAUUAAAAUAUCAUCUAAAUAAUAUAAUAGCAAAAUGAGAGAUGUUAAAUAAAUUUUAAAACAUUAUAUAAAUACUUAUUAUAUUUAAUAAAAAUGAGAUUAAAAU